Molecule: non-coding RNA, 784 nt
Filed under: Callipogon relictus
Lineage: Eukaryota; Metazoa; Arthropoda; Insecta; Coleoptera; Cerambycidae
Source: RNAcentral
GAAAAGUUUUAUUCUAACUUAGAAAUUAGGUUUGGUUUUAUUUUACAUGUAAGUUGAAGCGGGGGUGAUGUUUAGUCUUAAAUAGCCUAAAUUAUAAGAAUUUUAUUCGCAGUGGAGAAAUUUGGUUGAUUAGCGGGAGCUAGAUUCAGGAAUAAUCAGUAAUAUUAACAAAAUUUGUGCCAGCAGUUGCGGUUAUACAGAUAAUAUUAUUUAAUUUUUUCGGAUACAGUUAAUUUGAUUUGUUAACUUUUAAUUAAAGUUUAUUAGGUGGAAUUUCUAAAUUUUAUAAAAGUUUAUGUUUGGUGGUGAGGCUGAGAAAUUUUUUUUUUAAACUAGGAUUAGAUACCCUAUUAUUAUUAAUGUAAAUUUUAUUUCUGGGUUAGUAUUAGUUAUGUUCUUUAAAACUAAAGAUUUUGGCGGUAUUUUAGUCCAUUCAGAGGAACCUGUCCUGUAAUCGAUGGUCCACGAGUUUACUAACUUUUCCUUUUGGUUUAUAUAUCGUCGUAGUUUGAAUAUUUUAUAAGAUGUAUUAAUGUUCAGAAUUCUUUUUUUGAAGGAGAUCAGAUCAAGGUGUAGCUUAUGGGGGAGGAGAGAUGGGUUACAUUAAAUUUAUUUUGGGAUUUAUUAUGGUUAACUGAUAAUGAGUAUGGAUUUGAUAGUAAUUUUAAUUUAACUAUUAAGGUGAUUUAGGCUCUAAGAUAUGUACAUAUCGCCCGUCGCUUUCACUCCAAGGUGAAAUAAGUCGUAACAUAGUAGGCCUACUGGAAGGUGGGCCUGGUGAGGC